This 675-nucleotide ribosomal RNA is filed under the name Halobacillus faecis. RNAcentral describes it as "bacterial SSU rRNA". It matches the Rfam family "Bacterial small subunit ribosomal RNA", at positions 49 to 691 of the family's 1533-position model. The record is from RNAcentral. Lineage: Bacteria; Bacillati; Bacillota; Bacilli; Caryophanales; Bacillaceae.
UCCUAUAAUGCAGUCGAGCGCGGGAAGCGAGUGGAUCCCUUCGGGGUGAAGCUCGUGGAACGAGCGGCGGACGGGUGAGUAACACGUGGGCAACCUGCCUGUAAGAUCGGAAUAACCCCGGGAAACCGGGGCUAAUGCCGGGUAAUACUUUCUUUCGCAUGAAGGAAAGUUGAAAGAUGGCUUCUUGCUAUCACUUACAGAUGGGCCCGCGGCGCAUUAGCUAGUUGGUGAGGUAACGGCUCACCAAGGCGACGAUGCGUAGCCGACCUGAGAGGGUGAUCGGCCACACUGGGACUGAGACACGGCCCAGACUCCUACGGGAGGCAGCAGUAGGGAAUCUUCCGCAAUGGACGAAAGUCUGACGGAGCAACGCCGCGUGAACGAUGAAGGUCUUCGGAUCGUAAAGUUCUGUUGUUAGGGAAGAACAAGUACCGUUCAAACAGGGCGGUACCUUGACGGUACCUAACGAGGAAGCCCCGGCUAACUACGUGCCAGCAGCCGCGGUAAUACGUAGGGGGCAAGCGUUGUCCGGAAUUAUUGGGCGUAAAGCGCGCGCAGGCGGUUCCUUAAGUCUGAUGUGAAAGCCCACGGCUCAACCGUGGAGGGUCAUUGGAAACUGGGGAACUUGAGGACAGAAGAGGAGAGUGGAAUUCCACGUGUAGCGGUGAAAUGCGU